Long non-coding RNA from Musa acuminata AAA Group (dessert banana), 2595 nucleotides. RefSeq lists it as uncharacterized. NCBI's taxonomy places the organism in Eukaryota, Viridiplantae, Streptophyta, Magnoliopsida, Zingiberales, Musaceae. The transcript has 8 exons. The record is from RefSeq and is a predicted model, not a curated record.
CAGCAGGCGAAGCGACCAACCUGGGCGACAGGUUCACUUGCUCGAGCGCCUUGGAUUGGAGAUCCGCCGGGUAGUCCCGGACGCAGCCGAUGCGAGCCCCCGCGCCGGUGGUCCAUCUGCACGACAGCCGCCUCCCGAGGGAACUCAUCGUCAUCGACGGAGCACUUCUGAGAAGCAAAAGGCACGAGUGGGUUGGUUAAAUGCCCCAGGGUGGUGAACACAGUACAAUGUAUGGUCAGAUACACCUUCGCAUCACUCCACCAGAUAAGGUCACAAGGAGAGCUUACCGGACCAAGAUAGCUGAUGCACUGCUUUUGAAGCUUGCUUCUUGGGCACCUCUCCAGAUUUACUUCUCUUCCGUCUCCGACGUCCAACCUUCACAUUCGACCAAAGGAAGGAACAGACCAGACAUCAUAAUACAAAUGCAAGUUGUGCCCAUAGCGAUGCCGGGGAUCAAUCUGCACGGUGCCCGGUUGUGGAUUAGAUUACCAUAAAGCCAUCUCUCUGUGCUACCAAGGAAGAGGAUACUCACGGCUUCUAACCAAUGUUGCAGUGCUAGCUUCUGAGCCUUUUCAUCUUUGGAGAGGCCCUUACCGACCUGAGAAAAAUGGAUGCACACACAUAUCAUAUUGAUUGGAUAUACAUUGGAACAAUUAUAUAGCUUAUGCGUCAUGACAUAUCAAUCCGAUCGAUUACCCUGGCUGCUCUUCUUUUCGCUCUUGCCCAUUUAGAGACUGCAGGUUCUGGCUUCUCGACGUCGAAGAACAAGAUGGAACUACGCUUGAGAGAUGCGAAAUCCAGUGCCUUCCACCUGCAAAAGGGGAUUGUUUUUCUUUUUGAGCGUCAAGCUCGCUCGAAGGCCGAGGGGAAGAGAGCUCGACGAGCUGUUGCGGGAGCUUCACAUGGGGCACCGCAAAGUUCAUCGGCACCUUGAGACAAGAUGGCUGCAACGUAACAUCAUCAUCAUCUGCGGCUUGUUCUCCGAUGGGAACGGAUGCGUCGAGCUUUGGUGUCUCAGGUUCCCAGUUCCUGAAGCUUAAUGAUCUCUCCGUCACGGCGUCAUCGCACGCACCAGAGACCAUCCUGUUCGACGAAUUGCUCCUUCCGAAACUGAGUGAUCUCAAAAUCCUAUUGGCCUUCUUUUCACCGAGGCUAAUGGAUCCGGCUGCAGCAAACCAAUUCCACAAGGGCACGGAGAAGGAUAAGCCCAUGGAAGUGCUGCCCCUGUUAGAUUACAAAGGUCCAACCACAACAACCAUGUCACGGAGCAGUAAAGCCAGCAUCAUCGCAUCUCCGACAAAUAGAUCAGUAGAUGGAAGAGGCAGAAGAAAGAGGGAGCGGAACAAGCUUAGUUCAACGUACCUAGCAGAUCACAGAAGGAACCCGACUGCUCGGAUGAGAAGAAAGCUGAGAAGGUAAGGAGGACGAUGCCACUGAGCAGUGCUCCGUUCCUGGAAUGAGCUCUGUGAAAACUCAACUUUCCAUCUCCUUCAAAGGAGAGAGAGAGAGAGAGCACAGCUUUUUUGAAGCCUGUGUUGGAUUAAAUUAUGGCUGCUGCAUGACUAACCAUCCCCACUACCCAACUUGCUUAGAUUUUAUAUGACCAUUUGAGAGAUGCGCUGUUGGAUUUGUUUUGCUUUCAAGGAUUGACCAUUGACUUUUUAGUGCCCACAGGAGGUAGGCGUUUCUUCCUUGCCAAAGAAAAGGAUGAUUUCAGCUCCAAGCAUACGUAAUCAGAUAAGUCCUUUUGACUAUAUAUAUAUAUAGUAUACAGCAUGAGUAUAUGUAUAAUAAGAACUCAUGCAUUCACAUGCCUUUUCUAGCAUUAAAGGAGCUCAUCAACUGGAUUCAAUGAACUAAUUUCAACUGGGCAGCUGCCCCCCUUGACUUUGAAGAGGUCUUAAGUUACUCCCACAGUACAGCAAUGUUAUACAGGAGAGCAAACAAGAGGCCAACCUAUCUUCUCAAUAGGAGAACAAAAGGCUCAUGUGUCUGUGGGACAUGGAACGGAGGUUCCUUGAAGCUUCACGGCUGCGAGCUCUCUCGUCAAAGAACAGCAGAUCUCUCUCGGGAAAACAACAGAGUAAGACAAACAGGGAGUUGAAGGCCGAGAAAAAGAUUCAACACUGGAUUACAUAUUAUAUUAUGUGGAUUGCUCGGUUCUGCACAUGCAAGCGUCCAAGAAUCGAAAGAGCAUUGCCACCGGAAAUGCGCCUACUGUCUUUUUGACCCAUAUGCGGAGCUUGAAUGCAGAGUCUGCGACCGGUGAGCUCGCUCGCUCGCGAGCUUUCAGCGGCGGAAAGGAGAAGUUGACACGUAGCCUGGUCAAAUACCAUGUCUUCUUCGGACUGCAAUCCUGUGAGUACGUGUUGCCGUCCUCUCAUUUUUAGGCUUGUUUGGGGUCAUUCCGCUGCUUCCCAGAAAAACCAAUGAGAUUGUGCGUGUGGGGUGAAGGAGACGGGCACGGUUGGUAGCUUUCCCCGCUGUUUCUUCUCCUUCGAUUCCGAGAAGGUCGACUGUGCAGCAGGAGGGGUUUCAUAUCCGGGGAAGGAGGAGGGCGGAAAGGAUCCCCCGUCCUCCACGUUACUUCUUCAA